UACGUAGGGUGCAAGCGUUGUCCGGAAUUAUUGGGCGUAAAGAGCUCGUAGGCGGUUCGUCGCGUCGGCUGUGAAAUCCCGAGGCUCAACCUCGGGUCUGCAGUCGAUACGGGCGGACUGGAGUUCGGCAGGGGAGACUGGAAUUCCUGGUGUAGCGGUGGAAUGCGCAGAUAUCAGGAGGAGCACCGGUGGCGAAGGCGGGUCUCUGGGCAGUAACUGACACUGAGAGACGAAAGCUAGGGGAGCGAAUGGG
RNAcentral lists this ribosomal RNA (253 nucleotides) under uncultured bacterium. RNAcentral describes it as "partial 16S ribosomal RNA". It matches the Rfam family "Bacterial small subunit ribosomal RNA", at positions 524 to 776 of the family's 1533-position model. The record is from RNAcentral.